CACCCCUAUCCUUAGUUGCUAGCAGGUAAUGCUGAGAACUCUANCCCNUNCUGCCGGUAAUAAACCGGAGGAAGGUGGGGACGACGUCNAGUCAUCAUGGCCCUUACGUGUAGGGCUACACACGUGCUACAAUGGCGCAUACAGAGUGCUGCGAACCUGCGAAGGUAAGCGAAUCACUUAAAGUGCGUCGUAGUCCGGAUUGGAGUCUGCAACUCGACUCCAUGAAGUCGGAAUCGCUAGUAAUCGCGUAUCAGAAUGACGCGGUGAAUACGUUCCCGGGCCUUGUACACACCGCCCGUCACACCAUGGGAGUGGGUUGCUCCAGAAGUAGAUAGUCUAACCCUCGGGAGGACGUUUACCACGGAGUGAUUCAUGACUGGGGUGAAGUCGUAACAAGGUAGCCCUAGGGGAACCUGGGGCUGGAUCACCUCCUU
RNAcentral lists this ribosomal RNA (434 nucleotides) under uncultured Pseudoalteromonas sp. RNAcentral describes it as "bacterial SSU rRNA". It matches the Rfam family "Bacterial small subunit ribosomal RNA", at positions 1098 to 1532 of the family's 1533-position model. Lineage: Bacteria; Pseudomonadati; Pseudomonadota; Gammaproteobacteria; Alteromonadales; Pseudoalteromonadaceae. The record is from RNAcentral.